Long non-coding RNA from Polypterus senegalus (gray bichir), 216 nucleotides. RefSeq lists it as uncharacterized. The record is from RefSeq and is a predicted model, not a curated record. The transcript has 3 exons. Lineage: Eukaryota; Metazoa; Chordata; Cladistia; Polypteriformes; Polypteridae.
GUGAAAAAUCUCUUCUGUACUUUUAUAAAAGAAAGCAAAAUUGGGCCUCCCCAGUUACCUGUACCCUGAAAGGAGACGCAGCUGUUGGAGAGGGUGUGGUCCGACACUUUUUUAGCACACUGCUGGGAAAGGUUCAGUUUGGUUUCAAUAUGAAUAUUGGAAAUGUAGCACGGACAUUAUUGUUUGAAGGAGAACCUGACCACCUGAUCCCAAGCA